This 253-nucleotide ribosomal RNA is filed under the name uncultured bacterium. RNAcentral describes it as "partial 16S ribosomal RNA". It matches the Rfam family "Bacterial small subunit ribosomal RNA", at positions 524 to 776 of the family's 1533-position model. The record is from RNAcentral.
UACGGAGGGUGCAAGCGUUGUUCGGAUUUAUUGGGCGUAAAGCGCGUGUAGGCGGUCUUCUAAGUCUGAUGUGAAAGCCCUGGGCUCAACCCAGGAAGUGCAUUGGAUACUGGACGACUUGAAUACGGGAGAGGGUAGUGGAAUUCCUAGUGUAGGAGUGAAAUCCGUAGAUAUUAGGAGGAACACCGGUGGCGAAGGCGGCUAUCUGGACCGACAUUGACGCUGAGGCGCGAAAGCGUGGGGAGCAAACAGG